CGGGAGUAAAGUUUUGUUUAAACCGAAAAAAUAUUGACUGACUUUAGAUUUUUCUUUGGAAUAUGUGUUUUUUUGGAGAGCCCUCUUUUAUAGUGAAUUUUGUUGGCGCAUGUAUGAUUGUUUAGUUUUUACUUUUUUGGUAAUGCUUUGUGUUUUAUACAUUUAAAACAGAUAUAUAUUUGGCUUAUGGA
This 191-nucleotide ribosomal RNA is filed under the name Dirofilaria immitis (dog heartworm nematode). RNAcentral describes it as "partial small subunit ribosomal RNA". Lineage: Eukaryota; Metazoa; Nematoda; Chromadorea; Rhabditida; Onchocercidae. The record is from RNAcentral.